Molecule: ribosomal RNA, 497 nt
Filed under: uncultured bacterium
Lineage: Bacteria
Description: partial 16S ribosomal RNA
Rfam family: Bacterial small subunit ribosomal RNA
Source: RNAcentral
GAUGAACGCUGGCGGCGUGCCUAAUACAUGCAAGUCGAGCGAACGGACGAGAAGCUUGCUUCUCUGAUGUUAGCGGCGGACGGGUGAGUAACACGUGGAUAACCUACCUAUAAGACUGGGAUAACUUCGGGAAACCGUAGCUAAUACCGGAUAAUAUUUUGAACCGCAUGGUUCAAAAGUGAAAGACGGUCUUGCUGUCACUUAUAGAUGGAUCCGCGCUGCAUUAGCUAGUUGGUAAGGUAACGGCUUACCAAGGCAACGACGCAUAGCCGACCUGAGAGGGUGAUAGGCCACACUGGAACUGAGACACGGUCCAGACUCCUAAGGGAGGCAGCAGUAGGGAAUCUUCCGCAAUGGGCGAAAGCCUGACGGAGCAACGCCGCGUGAGUGAUGAAGGUCUUCGGAUCGUAAAACUCUGUUAUUAGGGAAGAACAUAUGUGUAAGUAACUGUGCACAUCUUGACGGUACCUAAUCAGAAAGCCACGGCUAACUACGUG